RNAcentral lists this ribosomal RNA (405 nucleotides) under uncultured bacterium. RNAcentral's name for it is "bacterial SSU rRNA". It matches the Rfam family "Bacterial small subunit ribosomal RNA", at positions 370 to 772 of the family's 1533-position model. The record is from RNAcentral.
AAUGGGGGAAACCCUGAUCCAGCCAUGCCGCGUGCAGGAAGACGGACCUAUGGUUUGUAAACUGCUUUUGAACGAGAGAAAACCCGAGUACGUGUACUCGGCUGAUAGUAUCGUUAGAAUAAGCAUCGGCUAACUUCGUGCCAGCAGCCGCGGUAAGACGAAGGAUGCAAGCGUUAUCCGGAUUCAUUGGGUUUAAAGGGAGCGUAGGCGGACUUGUAAGUCAGUGGUGAAAUCUGUGGGCUUAACCCACAAACUGCCAUUGAUACUGCAGGUCUAGAGUACAGUUGCCGUUGGCGGAAUAUGACAUGUAGUGGUGAAAUUCUUAGAUAUGUCAUAGAACACCGAUUGCGAAGGCAGCUAACGAAGCUGUAACUGACGCUGAGGCUCGAAAGUGCGGGGAUCAAG